GAUGAACGCUAGCUACAGGCUUAACACAUGCAGGUCGAGGGGCAGCAUGAUUGAAGCUUGCUUCAAUCGAUGGCGACCGGCGCACGGGUGAGUAACACGUAUCCAACCUGCCGAUAACUCGGGGAUAGCCUUUCGAAAGAAAGAUUAAUACCCGAUAGUAUAGUAUUUCCGCAUGGUUUCACUAUUAAAGAACUUCGGUUAUCGAUGGGGAUGCGUUCCAUUAGAUAGUUGGCGGGGUAACGGCCCACCAAGUCAACGAUGGAUAGGGGUUCUGAGAGGAAGGUCCCCCACAUUGGAACUGAGACACGGUCCAAACUCCUACGGGAGGCAGCAGUGAGGAAUAUUGGUCAAUGGACGAGAGUCUGAACCAGCCAAGUAGCGUGAAGGAUGACUGCCCUAUGGGUUGUAAACUUCUUUUAUACGGGAAUAAAGUGGAGUAGGCAUACUCCUUUGUAUGUACCGUAUGAAUAAGGAUCGGCUAACUCCGUG
This 489-nucleotide ribosomal RNA is filed under the name uncultured bacterium. RNAcentral's name for it is "partial 16S ribosomal RNA". It matches the Rfam family "Bacterial small subunit ribosomal RNA", at positions 28 to 507 of the family's 1533-position model. The record is from RNAcentral.